This 347-nucleotide unclassified non-coding RNA is filed under the name soil metagenome. Its description in RNAcentral is "partial contains 5.8S ribosomal RNA, internal transcribed spacer 2, and large subunit ribosomal RNA". The stretch from base 4 to 119 matches the Rfam family "5.8S ribosomal RNA", at positions 39 to 154 of the family's 154-position model. The record is from RNAcentral.
GAUAAGAACGCAGCAAAAUGCGAUAAGUAAUGUGAAUUGCAGAAUUCAGUGAAUCAUCGAAUCUUUGAACGCACAUUGCGCCCGCUGGUAUUCCGGCGGGCAUGCCUGUUCGAGCGUCAUUUCAACCCUCAAGCCCCCGGGUUUGGUGUUGGGGAUCGGCUCUGCCCUUCUGGGCGGUGCCGCCCCCGAAAUACAUUGGCGGUCUCGCUGCAGCCUCCAUUGCGUAGUAGCUAACACCUCGCAACUGGAACGCGGCGCGGCCAUGCCGUAAAACCCCAACUUCUGAAUGUUGACCUCGGAUCAGGUAGGAAUACCCGCUGAACUUAAGCAUAUCAAUAAGCGGAGGA